GGGGAAUGUCAUUAACCUCCAGAAGAAGGUGAAGGAAUUCAGAGUCUUGAGUGAAAUUCAGCUCCUCCGGGAGGCUGCAGAUAAAUUCCAUAUUCAGCCCCAGGACCAGUUUUGGGCUUUGUUUCAGGCCGUGGAGCAGCUCAGUGAGAAUGAGAGCUACACCCUGUCCUGCCAGCUGGAGCCCCUACCCACCCCCCACUCCCGCC
Long non-coding RNA from Tupaia belangeri chinensis (Chinese tree shrew), 206 nucleotides. RefSeq lists it as uncharacterized. The record is from RefSeq and is a predicted model, not a curated record. NCBI's taxonomy places the organism in Eukaryota, Metazoa, Chordata, Mammalia, Scandentia, Tupaiidae. The transcript is spliced from 3 exons.